RNAcentral lists this ribosomal RNA (465 nucleotides) under uncultured bacterium. Its description in RNAcentral is "partial 16S ribosomal RNA". It matches the Rfam family "Bacterial small subunit ribosomal RNA", at positions 28 to 507 of the family's 1533-position model. The record is from RNAcentral.
GAUGAACGCUGGCGGCGUGCUUAACACAUGCAAGUCGAACGGAAAGGCUCCUGCUUGCAGGGGUACUCGAGUGGCGAACGGGUGAGUAACACGUGGGUGAUCUGCCCUGCACUUCGGGAUAAGCCUGGGAAACUGGGUCUAAUACCGGAUAGGACGAUGGUUUGGAUGCCAUUGUGGAAAGUUUUUCGGUGUGGGAUGAGCUCGCGGCCUAUCAGCUUGUUGGUGGGGUAAUGGCCUACCAAGGCGUCGACGGGUAGCCGGCCUGAGAGGGUGUACGGCCACAUUGGGACUGAGAUACGGCCCAGACUCCUACGGGAGGCAGCAGUGGGGAAUAUUGCACGAUGGGCGCAAGCCUGAUGCAGCGACGCCGCGUGGGGGAUGACGGCCUUCGGGUUGUAAACUCCUUUCGCUAGGGACGAAGCGCAAGUGACGGUACCUGGAGAAGAAGCACCGGCUAACUACGUG